RNAcentral lists this long non-coding RNA (1479 nucleotides) under Prunus dulcis (almond). Its description in RNAcentral is "sRNA ncRNA". The record is from RNAcentral. Lineage: Eukaryota; Viridiplantae; Streptophyta; Magnoliopsida; Rosales; Rosaceae.
CUCAAAGAGCCAGUCAAAUACAAUUACGAAAAAAUCACCACUCUUUCUAAGGCAACCAAUUUCACACAGCCCCUUCUGGGGUCUUCUCAUCUCAAGUUCUCAUGCUACCUUGAUGAGAAGGGUAGGAAGAGACACAAGAAAAAGGUAUGAUCUUGAUGCUCUUUUCAGUGUUUUGGAUUUUGUUUCUGCCCAGAAUGAGCUUUUUCUUGAUGAAUUGCAAAUGGGGUUUGUCUAUUUUAUGGUUAUAAUUCCAAGGUUAAUGUGAAAGAAGGAUCUUUCUAUUUGUUUGUGUAAAAUGAAUAUUUUGUGUGAAAACUGCAAAUGGGCUAGUCCCUGUUUUGCCAAAAUGAGCAUUUCCUUGGCAGCUUGCUAAUGGGUUGAUCCUUAAGACGCAUGAUAGAUGAUGAUAAAUUUGUUCUCUUUUCCUUUUUUUUUUCCCAUCCUUAGCAAUCAAAUUUCAAAUUGGUUGCUCUUUACCAUUCUGAUGGGUAAACAAAGAUUUUAGAGGAUUCUCUUAGGCUAUUUGGACGUGUAAGUGGAUAAUUUUUUCUCAAUUGUUGAUUGAGGGAAUUGCAAGUUUAUGAUUUUGAUAGUUUGCUGAUUUUGGCGAUACAUUGUCUUGUUUUGUUAUUGGUGUUUGUAAGUGCAGAAAGUAGGUGUUUUUGCAUCUAUCAUGAUUAUACCUUUUGUAUGAUCUGUCAGGUUUUGAACAAAGAACUCAAUAACUGAGACUAAUUCUUGGAGGAGACCUAUCAUGGUAUGUCGACCUUUCUCCUGUUUUAGCUGUCAGAUGGUGCGUUUGUUUUGUUUACCAAUCGAUGGGUUGAUUUAAGAUCUUUCAAAAUGUUUGCAUAAAGUUGUGUAAAGUUUUUUGAGCCUGGAAAGUGGAAUUAAUCUUCUUAUACAUGCAUGAGAGAGUGUGCAUGCCUGCUGCUUUGAUCCUAGCAAGUAGCAGCUAGUGUUUUACAUACAUAGAGUUUGUGUGCACUUGUGCAAUUGCCACAAGUUGAUGCAUGGUAUCUGAAGGGAAUACCAUCUGAAUUACGAGGUUAAAUGCUUAAUUGACUUAUGUUCGGCAAAUUCAUAAGUGAAGUUGCAGUGACAAGUUCUUAUGUGUGCUAAAAAGGAUAAAGCCCUAAUCCAAGAUGGGGGGAAGAAAGAAAGGAAUAGGUCCAGUAAAUGUUAAAAGGCCCAUCAUUUACUUUUAGAUGUAUAGGGUUAAAUGUACAUUUCCAAAACUGGUGAUCAUUUCGUUCAAUAACAAUGCGAUCUUCAGUUUUAGCUAGCUUUCAUUUUUCUGUUCAUGAUGUAAUAUAAAAUCGUCAUUAUUUUUUUCUGGAACUAUUGUGAGUGAAUGUUUUCAUUCAUGUUGAAUGCAGCAUAACAGCCUUGUGAAGUUUUGAGGCCUCAAGAUUUUCACUACAUUACAGUUACAUCAGAUUCUUGAUGAGCACUUUGCUUCGUUUUGUUCUUUUACUU